AUGAAGAAACUAAGACAAAUAGCGGUACCCUGAAAACAUACAAGAAGUAAGGUAUGUGGUAGCAGUCAAGUUUAUCAUCUAAUUAUGAAGAUGAGAUGCACCUUCAUUCAUUUUUACUCAUCCAUUCAUUCCACACACCUAUGAUCAAGGAUUCUUCACCUGCUGUGUCAUAGACCCCAAAGGCAGUCUGCUGAAGCUUACGGU
Molecule: long non-coding RNA, 204 nt
Organism: Vombatus ursinus (common wombat)
Lineage: Eukaryota; Metazoa; Chordata; Mammalia; Diprotodontia; Vombatidae
Exons: 3
Source: RefSeq, a predicted model, not a curated record